AUUGAACGCUGGCGGCAUGCCUUACACAUGCAAGUCGAACGGCAGCACGGGAGCAAUCCUGGUGGCGAGUGGCGAACGGGUGAGUAAUAUAUCGGAACGUGCCCAGUCGUGGGGGAUAACGUAGCGAAAGCUACGCUAAUACCGCAUACGAUCUAAGGAUGAAAGCGGGGGAUCGCAAGGCCUCGCGCGAUUGGAGCGGCCGAUAUCAGAUUAGGUAGUUGGUGAGGUAAAGGCUCACCAAGCCGACGAUCUGUAGCUGGUCUGAGAGGACGACCAGCCACACUGGGACUGAGACACGGCCCAGACUCCUACGGGAGGCAGCAGUGGGGAAUUUUGGACAAUGGGCGCAAGCCUGAUCCAGCAAUGCCGCGUGCAGGAUGAAGGCCU
RNAcentral lists this ribosomal RNA (387 nucleotides) under uncultured bacterium. Its description in RNAcentral is "bacterial SSU rRNA". It matches the Rfam family "Bacterial small subunit ribosomal RNA", at positions 29 to 417 of the family's 1533-position model. The record is from RNAcentral.